RNAcentral lists this ribosomal RNA (835 nucleotides) under uncultured bacterium. RNAcentral's name for it is "bacterial SSU rRNA". It matches the Rfam family "Bacterial small subunit ribosomal RNA", at positions 461 to 1301 of the family's 1533-position model. The record is from RNAcentral.
GGACGAUAAUGACGGUACUUUAGGAGGAAGCUCCGGCUAACUACGUGCCAGCAGCCGCGGUAAUACGUAGGGAGCGAGCGUUGUCCGGAAUUACUGGGUGUAAAGGGAGCGUAGGCGGGACUGCAAGUCAGAUGUGAAAUGCCGGGGCUUAACCCCGGAGCUGCAUUUGAAACUGUGGUUCUUGAGUGAAGUAGAGGCAAGCGGAAUUCCUGGUGUAGCGGUGAAAUGCGUAGAUAUCAGGAGGAACACCGGUGGCGAAGGCGGCUUGCUGGGCUUUUACUGACGCUGAGGCUCGAAAGUGUGGGUAGCAAACAGGAUUAGAUACCCUGGUAGUCCACGCUGUAAACGAUGAUUACUAGGUGUGGGGGGACUGACCCCUUCCGUGCCGCAGUUAACACAAUAAGUAAUCCACCUGGGGAGUACGGCCGCAAGGUUGAAACUCAAAGGAAUUGACGGGGGCCCGCACAAGCAGUGGAGUAUGUGGUUUAAUUCGAAGCAACGCGAAGAACCUUACCAGGUCUUGACAUCGUAUGCAUAGUAUAGAGAUAUGGGAAAUUCCUUCGGGAACAUAUAGACAGGUGGUGCAUGGUUGUCGUCAGCUCGUGUCGUGAGAUGUUGGGUUAAGUCCCGCAACGAGCGCAACCCUUACCUUUAGUUGCUACGCAAGAGCACUCUAAAGGGACUGCCGUUGACAAAACGGAGGAAGGUGGGGAUGACGUCAAAUCAUCAUGCCCCUUAUGACCUGGGCUACACACGUACUACAAUGGCAAUCAACAAAGAGAAGCGAGACAGUGAUGUGGAGCGAAUCUCAAAAAAUUGUCCCAGUUCGCAUUGC